GAUGAACGCUGGCGGCGUGCCUAACACAUGCAAGUCGAACGUGAAGAUACCAACUGUUAGCAAUAACAAGCGGUAUCGGAAAGUGGCGAACGGGUGAGUAACACGUGGGUAACCUGCCGC
RNAcentral lists this ribosomal RNA (120 nucleotides) under uncultured bacterium. RNAcentral's name for it is "partial 16S ribosomal RNA". It matches the Rfam family "Bacterial small subunit ribosomal RNA", at positions 28 to 132 of the family's 1533-position model. The record is from RNAcentral.